RNAcentral lists this ribosomal RNA (431 nucleotides) under uncultured bacterium. Its description in RNAcentral is "bacterial SSU rRNA". It matches the Rfam family "Bacterial small subunit ribosomal RNA", at positions 917 to 1349 of the family's 1533-position model. The record is from RNAcentral.
GGGCCCGCACAAGCGGUGGAGUAUGUGGUUUAAUUCGAUGCAACGCGAAGAACCUUACCAGGGUUUGACAUCCUGCGAAUCUCUUGGAAACGAGAGAGUGCCUUCGGGAACGCAGUGACAGGUGGUGCAUGGCUGUCGUCAGCUCGUGUCGUGAGAUGUUGGGUUAAGUCCCGCAACGAGCGCAACCCACGUCUUUAGUUGCCAGCAUUUAGUUGGGCACUCUAGAGAGACCGCCGGUGAUAAACCGGAGGAAGGUGUGGAUGACGUCAAGUCAUCAUGCCCCUUACAUCCUGGGCUACACACGUACUACAAUGCUACGGACAAAGGGCAGCAAACUCGCGAGGACAAGCAAAUCUCAUAAACCGUGGCUCAGUUCAGAUCGUAGGCUGCAACUCGCCUACGUGAAGGAGGAAUCGCUAGUAAUCGCAGGU